UCCUACGGGGCGCAGCAGUGAGGAAUAUUGGUCAAUGGGCGGGAGCCUGAACCAGCCAAGCCGCGUGAGGGAAGAAGGUACAGCGUAUCGUAAACCUCUUUUGUCAGGGAACAAAGGCGGGGACUAGUCCCCGGAUGAGGGUACCUGAAGAAAAAGCAUCGGCUAACUCCGUGCCAGCAGCCGCGGUAAUACGGAGGAUGCGAGCGUUAUCCGGAUUUAUUGGGUUUAAAGGGUGCGUAGGCGGGAUGCCAAGUCAGCGGUAAAAAUGCGGUGCUCAACGCCGUCUAGCCGUUGAA
This 296-nucleotide ribosomal RNA is filed under the name uncultured bacterium. RNAcentral's name for it is "partial 16S ribosomal RNA". It matches the Rfam family "Bacterial small subunit ribosomal RNA", at positions 337 to 631 of the family's 1533-position model. The record is from RNAcentral.